Non-coding RNA from Chrysemys picta bellii (western painted turtle), 2782 nucleotides. Lineage: Eukaryota; Metazoa; Chordata; Testudines; Emydidae. The record is from RefSeq and is a predicted model, not a curated record.
GCAAUGCUGGUUCUGCCUCUGCACCAAAUGAAAAAAUAAAAUCAAAGUCAGAUAAAUUUUACCUUCAUCCUAAUUCUAUGCAGCAUUCACAGUUUGUUAAUCCCACAGAAUAACUCUGCCAGCCGAAGGAUCAGGCCAUAUGGAUGCUGCUCCCCCUAGUGUGCCCUGACUGUGGAGUUUCUAUUCCGGUACAACCUCCAAAGCAAAAAUAGCAGAACCUUAACGAACAGACCAGCAGAGCCCCCACAGGCAAGUGCAGAGAAGUCUAGUGUCCAACCUAGAAUUUUGGGCAAAGGUUUUCAGACAUGACCAGGGGGUUUAGGUGCCUCCAUUUUCAUGUGUCCAACCGCACUUUAAAUGAGACAGAUGCUCAGCACCGUCUGAAAAUCAGACCAUUUUGCGAUGUUUCAGGGCAGGCACCUAAAUACUGAGGCAUCCAAAAUCACUAGUCCUGUUUGAAAAGCUUGGCUUUCCUAUUUACCCACUGCUAAGUCUCACCUUCAACCGACUAAACAAAAGCAAACCUCGGCUAGGAGACAGCUCCGGAAAGUUGCAGUACUCAGAGGUUUGCAGAACAUAUGGGCCAAACUCUGACAAUGCAGAUGUGUACAUAAGUAUGCUUUGACUUCAAAUGCAAACUGUACAUUCAAAUUACUUUAAUUGUGAACUCUUUGGGGCAGGGGUUUUGUACAGCACCUUGGGGUCCUGGCCCAUGGCUGGGCCUCCUAGUCUCUACUCCGAUAUGAAUAAUAAUUUCUGAAAGUAUUAACACAAUGAUCUUUCUCCUAUGAAAACCUUUAUCGGGGAAGUGGAAAGAGCAGGCAGUGAGUCAUUUGAAUGCUUCUUACCCAUGUAGGAGGAAGUCCUUUCCUUUCUUUCUCAUAGCUAAAGGCUCACUAAUUGGAUUUUCAGGUUUGCCAAUCUCCAAUUACUUUCAAAAUAUAUUUGCAUUGUUACAUGAUAUGAUGAAAGAAGAGUUUAAUGCAGAAGCUUAAGAAUUUAUGCCUUGGGUAAUAACUGCUAUGUAUCUGCUUCUCCUGUAGUCAUACAUGCUGUGGCCCGUGUACCACCAAUUAUCCACAGCCCACUUGCUACGGGCUGCAGUGAGCUGGCUGGUCAUUUGUUGCUGGCUCCUCAUUUCCAGCUGCUGAAUGAUACUGAAAAUACGUUCAAUCUUUUCCCUAUAUAACUUUUCCAUAUAACCGAUUGUUGUAGUUGCUACAGGGAUGUUAUGCAACCAACCUGUGGAAAACAAGGCAAGUCUGAUUGAAGGAGACGCAGGGCGAAAGAAGAUCUGAAUUCAUGAAGGCAAAUGGAACAAAGGAUCCGUUACUGUAACAUUUCAAAGCAAUGAUUUAGCUCUAAUGUCUGACCUCUGUUUGGAUAACAGUGUCAUGUGCAUAAAUGUUCAAAUACAAAAACCAUAUACAGAUGUUGGAAAUAUUUUUUUGGGUAGAGUAUUAGCUCUGGCAUAAGAUAAAUGACUGCUUGGGGCAAUGCACCGGGAUUCAAGAGACUUGGGUUCUACUUGCCACUGAUCUGCUGUGUGACUUUUCACGGGUACAAACACUGUCUAGCAAAAUGGGCCCGUAAUGUUUGUUGGGGCCUCUGGACGUUAGUCUAAUAUAUGUAAGUUAGUUACUAUUAAACAACACACAAUUUCACUUGCAUUUCAAUAGUCCAUGCAUGGAAGACAUUUAGGGUGUUUUUUCCUGGUUUACUCAAUCUACAUUUAUUUAAAAAAAUAUUUACAAACUUUACAACAGUAAACACGCUGUUUUCAAAACACAUACAUUUGUACAGCUGGCUUUACAGUCUCAGUAAAUAAUAUGCUAUUUAGUCACAGGUGCAGAAUCCCUUUUCCAAAGCUUGGCUCUGGCCCUUUCUUCAGAACCAGUUUAGAAGCUGUAUGUAUGGGUGAGUCGGCUGCAGGGGGCUAUGAAGCUACUUCCAGCCCACAGUGGUUUUAAAAACUUAAAUAAUCAAGUCAAGUACCUCCAAGGAAUGAAAGCGGUCAUGUUAGGAAGGAAGCUAUGCCACAACAUAAAAGUAAGUUUCCCCAGCAUUCAAGAGGAACAUAUCCCCUACUGAUGGUAUUAAAUUGUCAUAAUACCAACAUUAUCAAUUAACACAUACAGGAAGAUAGAUUAAGCCAAUAUUAUCUGUACACGUUAACAGUAUGUGGCAUUAUGAUCUUUUGGGAUGGGAUUUUCCAAAGCCCGCAGUGCUGGCCUAACUCAGUUCUCAUUAGGAUGUUAUAUUCUGUAAUAGGAGAGUUUACAUAGACAGUGGAAGCCAGUGGGACUUCAUAGAAGCUGAGGGCAAGUCUACACUACAAACGGUGCAGCUACGCCUCGGUAGCACUGUGAAGAUGUUCUAAGCCAACAGGAGCGAGAGCUCACGCAUCAGCUUAGUUACUCCACCUCUGCCAGCCGUGGUAGCUAUGUUGGCAGGAGAAACACUCCUACUGACACAGUGCUGUCUAUACGGCCGGUAUAACUUCAUCGCUCAGGGAUGUGGAUUUUUCACACCCCUGAGCGACGUAGUUACACUGAAGUGUGUAGAGUAGACCUGGCCCGAGUUAGGUCAACACUGGGUGUGUGCUUUUGAAAGUCACUCCCUUUAAUGUCAGGAGAUCUGUUCGGCCAUGUUACUCAGGUGUUUUCAGGUUCCCCUGGAAUCUUAGAGGGAGGUUCUUGCUGGGCAAUUACAGAGUUUGGUCUACAGCUGUUGCUGGAAAUGAAAACAGUGAUAUAUAUGAUAGAGCAGCUUUUAACAAACA